Molecule: ribosomal RNA, 639 nt
Filed under: Burkholderia sp. IBb331
Lineage: Bacteria; Pseudomonadati; Pseudomonadota; Betaproteobacteria; Burkholderiales; Burkholderiaceae
Description: bacterial SSU rRNA
Rfam family: Bacterial small subunit ribosomal RNA
Source: RNAcentral
GGGGGCACCCUGAUCCAGCAAUGCCGCGUGUGUGAAGAAGGCCUUCGGGUUGUAAAGCACUUUUGUCCGGAAAGAAAACGUCUUGGUUAAUACCCGAGGCGGAUGACGGUACCGGAAGAAUAAGCACCGGCUAACUACGUGCCAGCAGCCGCGGUAAUACGUAGGGUGCGAGCGUUAAUCGGAAUUACUGGGCGUAAAGCGUGCGCAGGCGGUCUGUUAAGACCGAUGUGAAAUCCCCGGGCUUAACCUGGGAACUGCAUUGGUGACUGGCAGGCUUUGAGUGUGGCAGAGGGGGGUAGAAUUCCACGUGUAGCAGUGAAAUGCGUAGAGAUGUGGAGGAAUACCGAUGGCGAAGGCAGCCCCCUGGGCCAACACUGACGCUCAUGCACGAAAGCGUGGGGAGCAAACAGGAUUAGAUACCCUGGUAGUCCACGCCCUAAACGAUGUCAACUAGUUGUUGGGGAUUCAUUUCCUUAGUAACGUAGCUAACGCGUGAAGUUGACCGCCUGGGGAGUACGGUCGCAAGAUUAAAACUCAAAGGAAUUGACGGGGACCCGCACAAGCGGUGGAUGAUGUGGAUUAAUUCGAUGCAACGCGAAAAACCUUACCUACCCUUGACAUGGUCGGAAGUCUGCUGAG